CCUACGGGUGGCAGCAGUGGGGAAUAUUGCACAAUGGGGGAAACCCUGAUGCAGCGACGCCGCGUGAGUGAAGAAGUAAUUCGUUAUGUAAAGCUCUAUCAGCAGGGAAGAAAAUGACGGUACCUGUGGAAGAAGCCCAGGCUAACUACGUGCCAGCAGCCCCGGUACUACGUCGGGGGCAAGCGUUAUCCGGAUUUACUGGGUGUAAAGGGAGCGUAGACGGGAGUGCAAGUCUGGAGGGAAAGGCGGGGGCUCAACCCCCGGACUGCUCUGGAAACUGUACGGCUGGAGUGCAAGAGAGGUAGGUGGAAUUCCUAGUGUAGCGGUGAAAUGCGUAGAUAUUAGGAGGAACACCAGUGGCGAAGGCGGCUUACUGGACUGUAACUGACGUUGAGGCUCGAAAGCGUGGGGAGCAAACAGGAUUAGAUACCCCAGUAGUC
Molecule: ribosomal RNA, 440 nt
Filed under: uncultured bacterium
Lineage: Bacteria
Description: partial 16S ribosomal RNA
Rfam family: Bacterial small subunit ribosomal RNA
Source: RNAcentral